AGGGGUGUAGCUCAGUUGGUAGAGCAGCGGUCUCCAAAACCGCGUGCCGUGGGUUCAAGUCCUACCACCCCUGCCA
This 76-nucleotide transfer RNA is filed under the name Candidatus Saccharimonadota bacterium. RNAcentral describes it as "tRNA-Trp". It matches the Rfam family "tRNA". From Rfam's summary of the family: Transfer RNA (tRNA) molecules are approximately 80 nucleotides in length. Their secondary structure includes four short double-helical elements and three loops (D, anti-codon, and T loops). Further hydrogen bonds mediate the characteristic L-shaped molecular structure. tRNAs have two regions of fundamental functional importance: the anti-codon, which is responsible for specific mRNA codon recognition, and the 3' end, to which the tRNAs corresponding amino acid is attached (by aminoacyl-tRNA synthetases). tRNAs cope with the degeneracy of the genetic code in two manners: having more than one tRNA (with a specific anti-codon) for a particular amino acid; and 'wobble' base-pairing, i.e. permitting non-standard base-pairing at the 3rd anti-codon position. Lineage: Bacteria; Candidatus Saccharimonadota. The record is from RNAcentral.